This 1542-nucleotide long non-coding RNA is filed under the name Phasianus colchicus (ring-necked pheasant). RNAcentral describes it as "lncRNA (ENSPCLG00000003033.1)". Lineage: Eukaryota; Metazoa; Chordata; Aves; Galliformes; Phasianidae. The record is from RNAcentral.
UAGGCUAGCAAGUGUCCUUAUUAUCGUUCCCAUACAGGCUAUACUCUGACCCUUUUAAAGGCUAACAUUUCACUGCCUCCUAGCCUCGGGUGUUUGUGCAAAAUGUAAUAUGGCAGCUUUCCGAACUUAACGCUGCACAUAAACACAAUACCACAUGCACAUAAGCAAGAGGAUCGUAAAAGCUGGAGAAAAGCAACAGUCUGCCGGGCACUAGAAUUGCUGGAAGAACAAUUUUCUGAGCACAGUUCCACUCAGUCACUUCAGUUUAAGCCUAAGGUUGGUCUGGCUCUGCUUUCUGGAGGAGAAUCCCAGUCUCUGCAGGCUUCCUAAAAAGUCUGAAAAGGUAAACUUCUCAAUGCAGGUUGGCGCUUGAACCUAGGAGCAAAUACUGUGACCUUACAAGCAAGGGUGGAAAGGCACUGGAACAGGUUGCCCAGAAAGGUGGUGGAAGCCCUAUCCCUGAAGACAUUCAAGGUCAGGCUAGACCAGGCUCUGAGCAGCCUUAUCUAGCUCUAGGUGUCCUGGUUCAUUGCAGGGGAGUUGGACUAGAUGGCCUUUAAGUGUCCCUUACAGCACAACAAAUUCUAUGAUUCUAUGACCUAACAGUGAAGUGGGAAGCUCAAGGACCUUGCUGUGUUAGAGGGAGAGUGUGACAUGCUGUGCAUCCCAAGCAAAGGAGAAGCUCAGAAGAGAUCCAUGAACAUUUGAAGUGAGGGAGGAACCUCCAAACACAUCAGUGCACCAGUGACAGAAUAUACAAGUUUGCUACAUUUGAAAUUCAUGUUUCAGCUGAAAAAGUACAUGUGGGGAACAUCUUAAGAAAUAGAGCCUUAUUCUGUAGGUUUUGAUGUUCCUUAUGCAAGGAUUCUAACUGCAGCAUGCUCCCCACUGUAGGAUGCACAGACAGAAGGUGAAAUAUGACAGGAACGAUGCCUACAUCUUCACCCUCAGAAAGAGAUGCUCUCACUUCAGCCUGGUGCAGCAGUAGAUGGAGGAUGAGAGCGAAUCCCAUCUCUGGAUACUCCAGGGCCAUCAAUGCCUGUGGCAGAUUCAGAAUGUUUCUGGGCAGCAUGGCCCUGGCUUCCAAGAAAAAAUUAUUAAAAGAAAAUUCAUAAUUCUGCAUUUAACCAUGUUAUGAUGAUGAUUAUUUUUUUUUUUAACCACAGUAGUGUAGUACGUAUCCUAUCCACGCUGAAUUUCUUCAUUUCCUUUUAAUACAGAUACUCCAAAAAAUUAACAGUUAAUAGUGGCUAUUCCAUUACAAACUGUCAAGAGAGGCAAUUAUAGAGAAUUUCCCUGUAGCAUUCUCUCUCUUCCAAAGAACGAAAGGAGGUGGAGGGAGAGGUGCCAUAAGUUUAGAAGCAAAACACUGUUAUUAUUCUGAAGUGAGAAUGACAUCCUUGCAUUAACACAGUAUGAAAUCAUAGUAGCAAUUUUCAUGCCAUAUUAUUUUGUUUUUGUCAGGUCACUGAUUUUCAAUUUCAUCAAUACUACAUAAAACUAAGGAAGAUAAUAGAAUAAAGAGCGUCCAUUUGGACUCCA